AACGAACGCUAGCGGCAGGCUUAAUACAUGCAAGUCGAACGGUAACAGGUGUAGCAAUACAUGCUGACGAGUGGCAGACGGGUGAGGAACACGUACGCAACCUCCCUCAAACCGGGGCACAACCUUGAGAAAUCAGGGCUAAUUCCCCAUAACAUUGCGAAAGGGCAUCUGAUUGCAAUUAAAGAUUAUCAGUUUGAGAUGGGCGUGCGUCUGAUUAGGUAGUUGGG
This 227-nucleotide ribosomal RNA is filed under the name uncultured bacterium. RNAcentral describes it as "partial 16S ribosomal RNA". It matches the Rfam family "Bacterial small subunit ribosomal RNA", at positions 29 to 253 of the family's 1533-position model. The record is from RNAcentral.